UACGAAGGGGGCUAGCGUUGCUCGGAAUCACUGGGCGUAAAGGGUGCGUAGGCGGGUCUUUAAGUCAGGGGUGAAAUCCUGGAGCUCAACUCCAGAACUGCCUUUGAUACUGAGGAUCUUGAGUUCGGGAGAGGUGAGUGGAACUGCGAGUGUAGAGGUGAAAUUCGUAGAUAUUCGCAAGAACACCAGUGGCGAAGGCGGCUCACUGGCCCGAUACUGACGCUGAGGCACGAAAGCAUGGGGAGCGAACAGG
RNAcentral lists this ribosomal RNA (253 nucleotides) under uncultured bacterium. RNAcentral's name for it is "partial 16S ribosomal RNA". It matches the Rfam family "Bacterial small subunit ribosomal RNA", at positions 524 to 776 of the family's 1533-position model. The record is from RNAcentral.